RNAcentral lists this ribosomal RNA (505 nucleotides) under uncultured bacterium. RNAcentral describes it as "partial 16S ribosomal RNA". It matches the Rfam family "Bacterial small subunit ribosomal RNA", at positions 28 to 507 of the family's 1533-position model. The record is from RNAcentral.
GACGAACGCUGGCGGCGUGCCUAAUACAUGCAAGUAGAACGCACAGUUUAUACCGUAGCUUGCUACACCAUAGACUGUGAGUUGCGAACGGGUGAGUAACGCGUAGGUAACCUGCCUGGUAGCGGGGGAUAACUAUUGGAAACGAUAGCUAAUACCGCAUAAUAUUAAUUAUUGCAUGAUAAUUAAUUGAAAGGUGCAAUUGCACCACUACCAGAUGGACCUGCGUUGUAUUAGCUAGUAGGUGAGGUAACGGCUCACCUAGGCGACGAUACAUAGCCGACCUGAGAGGGUGAUCGGCCACACUGGGACUGGGACACGGCCCAGACUCCUACGGGAGGCAGCAGUAGGGAAUCUUCGGCCAUGGACGAAAGUCUGACCGAGCAACGCCGCGUGAGUGAAGAAGGUUUUCGGAUCGUAAAGCUCUGUUGUAAGAGAAGAACGGGUGUGAGAGUGGAAAGUUCACACUGUGACGGUAUCUUACCAGAAAGGGGCGGCUAACUACGUG